UCAUUUGAUCUUCACAAUAACUCUAAGAGAUAAGUGCUCUUUACAUAUGAGAAAGCUGAAAUUCAAAGAGGUUGGGAAACACAUCCAGGUCACAUAGCUAGUAAAUGGCUGAGACUAUGCUUCUAAAGCCAUAUAAUGAAUAGCCCAAUAGUGGAAGUAAGACACUCUAUAUAGGUAGAUUCACCCAAUCUUCUCUGCCUUUCCAAAACCUAUUCCCUAAAAUUACCUUGUGGCUAGUUUCUUUAUUUCUCCAAGGUCCUUCUUUUCCUUCUGUAAAAUGGGGAAAAUACCUAGGUUGCAAGUUUACUGUAAGAAUUAGAUAUUUACAAUGCCUGGUAUCCUGUAAAUGACAGCUGCUGUUAUUUCAUUUGUGUUGUGCAGGAAAUGUUUUUCUAAGAUGCGUGUGUAGCAAUCUGCUAAGGCAACUCUGGAAGCAGGGGAAGGUGGCAGCUAUGAGACAAAAAAGAUAGUUAAAUACAUUCCUUUGUCCCUGAAAGGCCCUGCAAUCAUCCCAGGCUGCCAGUUGCUUAAAUUGGGCAGCUUAUUCUCCUGGAGAGGGUUUUUGCACCCAUGGUGAAGGAAAGGAGCAAUAAAUGCUGCUGAGGUUGGGAUAAGGGGGUUGGCAAUCCAUUCUCGAUGGUCAGUUCUUUAGAGCUGAUGGACAGUGCUCGCUUCCAUACAAAGGGUGGGCCUUAUGUAAGCAUCGACAUCGGCAUGGGGACAGAAAGCAGCUAUCAUGCUGGUUAGGAAAGAGGGGAAGCAGCACUUGAGAGGUUAAGGGAGAAUAAGCAGUUGCAAGUUGUACUCUAGAAUUCUCUGUUGCGAGGAAGAAACUGGGAAGAUUGAGCUACCUAGGAAAGGGCGGUGCCACUGCUUUGAACCACAGGUGUUUUUGCCUGGUCACUAACCCAGGGGUUUCUCUCUCACCCGGGACCAAAGAGCCAUUCCUUUCUUAGUGUGGGCCAGGCACUGUGCUGAGUGUUGCGACUAUAUUUUCUCAGGUCUUUCUCACAACUGUCCUGUGAAGUAGUUAUGGCUAGCAAUACUUUAUAGAUAUGAAAACAGACUCAGAAGAGCUAGGUGACUCCAUACCCAGAACAACACUGCUAGUAAGUAAGCAUCAGUCAGGAUUUGAAUAUAGUGUUUUGACAUCUAUGCCAUGGCCCUUUCAAUUACUCCUCAGUUGCUACCUAUGGCUAGUGACUUAUGGGUAUUAAUUAAUUCAACAAGUAUUUGUUGAGCCACUGUUCUCCCAAUAAGUGCAACCUGGAGACAUGGCUUAGGGGGAGGACAUACUGCAGUCAAGCCCAAACAACACAGGAGGGAGGGUGGAGGAGAGUGAGAAUGGAGGAUGACUGGUAAUGGGUAUGGGGCCUCCCUUUAGGGUGUUGAAAAUGUUCUACAAGUAGAUAGUGGUGAUGGUUGUACAACACCGAGCAUACUAAGAACUACUGAACUAUACACUUUAAAUGGGUGAAUUUUAUAUGUCAGUUACUUUUCAAAUAAAGCUGCUAAAAAAAAAUAGAGAAAAUUAAAAGAUGAACAUACCAAAAAAACGAUAUACUCCACAAAAUUAGAAUAGAAAUAGGCAUAGUCAUGAGAGCUUUUAUAUCCAAAAGAAUAUAAUAUAGGAUGGUAUUAUAUUACAAUUUGAUUUUGGUACAUGUCACAAUAAAUUAAAAACAUAAAAAACCAAGCAAACAAAAAAUCCUAGACACAAGAGUGUUUUUACCCUAUGCCAUUCCACUACUGUGAACUAAAAAAAAGGGGGGGGGGGGGAAGGGUUCUUGCCUUUUUCUCACUUCUUAUACAGUUUCCAUGGGGGUUAUGUGAGGCUCCAAACUGAAUUAUCUAGGACAGCAUUUUCCAUAGCAACAAGAUGGAUUCAACAAGGAAAUGUUAGCACCUUAUAGUUCUGGUCUUGCACUAAGUGCACAAAGAAAACAAGUGUGCAGCAUGUCUGGGCUUCACUUACAAAAUUGUAAGUUGAUUGAUAACCUCUGCAGCUAACUCCUGAAUUCUGGUCCUCCCCUAGAACUUGGCUGAGCAAGUGCAACUUAGAUAAAAAAAAUAAAUGAUAAAUAAUAAAUUAAAAAGAAAACACAAAAACUUCUUGAGAGGCCAGAAGAGGGAACGUUAAAGCCAAGCAGCUGUGUGGACAGUUAAACCAAAGGGCUAUAGCUAUAGAUGGCAGAAGGUCAUUCUGAAACUACGUACAACAUACAUGAUCUGGCUAUGAGUCCAACCUGCCUUCACCUGCCUGAGCCUCUACCUCCUCCUGUGUUUGAGAACCAAUGCCCCACUUUAUAGGAAGCUUUAAUGCCUACUUUACACCCUAUUCAUAGAUUCAUAGAUUACACCCUACCUACAAACAAUGUUUUUUAAAAAAUCAAUGUUAUAAUUUACAAUAAGCAUUUCAAAGUGAAAAUGUCGUCAGACAUUAUCUAACCUAGAAGACAUAAUGGAAUAGUCAGAUGCUUAGUAUACCUCCUAUGAAAAAUAAAUUUGGAUUUUAAAGAGGAAAAAGGCCAUUCCACCCAAAGUCAUAAUAAACUGGUCUUAUUUGUAUUUAAUAAGAGAAGUAGGACUCACAACCCAAAUCAAGCAACCGACUGCUAAGUGGAGGAAAUCAAGUAGAAUGAGGAUUUAUCUGUAAUGUGAAGCCAGGACAAUUUUCUUAUGCUGUGCUACGGGAUGAGGCAGUGAGGUAUCACACAGGACAUACCUUCUAUACUAAUAUCCCACAUGUAUGGAGAGCCAUGCAUUCCCUGAACUUAAAGAACUUACAGAUGGGUUAGGGAUGCUGGAUCAGAAAUUCAGUCAUUUCCACAACAUAGGUUAUUAUUAGGCUUCUAUAAAUAUUUUUUAAAACAGACUUUACAAAAUUCAGUGAUAGCCUCACAUUUCAUGUACCUCCACUACCUUAAUAAUAUGUGCAAGUAUGUUUUAGUAAGUAGGGAAAGAAUUUGAAUUUGAUACAUACUAUCUCUGUUAAUAAAUAACUGAGUUCCUCUUACAACUCUCUCCUGCUAUCUUCUCCUAGCACCCAGUUAGGGAAAAAAAACGCCAAGAGUACAAAGCCCAGCCAGAGGUAUGCUUGUUCAUUUUUCAGAACUCCAAAACUUAUUUUAGAAAGCUAAGAAAAGAUAGAAGACUUACUUGAAACUAUUUUAAAGGACAGAACAAUUUUUAAAAAUGGGUUUCACAGGUGAAAAUUAAGAUGUUUGCAGACUAUUUUUCAGAACUAUCAAGGAUUAUAAUAGUGGUGGGUGGAAAAUUCUUUUUUCUGCAACAAAGCUGCAUUGAGAUUCAGGAAGAUCUCAUGUUAUCAUUAGUUACAGAUGAUAAAUGUGCAAGAGCACAGUAAUGUACAAGUUGAGCCUAAUGAUUCUAAUAUCCUUUUACUGGACUACAACCUAGCAUGGCAGCCUUUAAAAAAAAUUAUAUUUACCUUGUGUCAAUUUCCUAGCACAUUACACAACUGUUUAAAAAAAAAUUAGCCGCUGCCCACCUCCAGAGAAGCAUCAUUAAUUUUAUGGUAAGAACUUUUGAGAAAAUACAAUUUAAAAUUAAAUAACUUUUUAAAUAAGCAACUUAUAUUCCUGUUUUAUAUUAUUUUUUAUGAGUAUAAGCUCUGAAGUAGGACUUGGAUUUGAAUCCUGAUUCUCUCACUCAAUAUAUAAGACAACAUAUAUAAAGCACUUAGCAAAGUUGAAGGCACAUAGUAAGUCCUCAAAUGUUAAUUAUUAUUAUUAUUUCUAAUCAAAGCAAUGGUAGCUCCCUUUUAUAAACACUUACUAUAUGCAUGCUUUAUAAGUAUUAUUGCAGUUAUUUCUCUUAAUUAUUCAAUAAGAUUAUCUGUUUAACACCUGACAACCCUGAGGUUCAGAAAAGGCUGAGAAACCUGCUCAAGGUCAGAACCCCAGUGUGUGAAGAACCAAAGCAUCAAUGCUAGCUAACCAUCAUUAAAAAUUCUUGUGUGUGUGGGAAGGGAGGAGUGAAUGUAAGUGAGUGAGUAUGUGUGUGUGUGUGUAUUUAGUAGGGGAUCCACAGGUAUUCUCUGACAAUUAGACAUUUCUCAUGAUGAUAGAGAACUUAGAAAUAAUUAAUAUAAUAUUUUGAUUAUUUAUUGACAUACCUGCCUUAAAACCAAAUAUUGCCAGGACGUUUCAGUGCCUAGGUUUGCAUUUGUGUUUACUUGCACAGUGAAGUCGGGUUCUGCUUUAGCUGUGGGAGGCUUAUGGAGAACAUAGAGAACAGAGAAAGUGUUUCCCUUAAUAGGGAAAGGAUGCAGUC
This 4296-nucleotide long non-coding RNA is filed under the name Canis lupus familiaris (dog). Its description in RNAcentral is "lncRNA (ENSCAFG00000053979.1)". Lineage: Eukaryota; Metazoa; Chordata; Mammalia; Carnivora; Canidae. The record is from RNAcentral.